CAGAGUUGAUCCUGGCUCAGGAUGAACGCUAGCGGCAGGCUUAACACAUGCAAGUCGAGGGGCAGCAUAAUGGUAGUAAUACUAUUGAUGGCGACCGGCGGACGGGUGCGUAACGCGUAUGCAACCUACCCUUUACAGGGGGAUAACACUGAGAAAUCGGUACUAAUACCCCAUAAUAUUCUGGGAGGCAUCUUUCGGAGUUCGAAAGCUUUGGUGGUAAAGGAUGGGCAUGCGUUGUAUUAGCUAGCU
This 249-nucleotide ribosomal RNA is filed under the name uncultured bacterium. Its description in RNAcentral is "partial 16S ribosomal RNA". It matches the Rfam family "Bacterial small subunit ribosomal RNA", at positions 8 to 250 of the family's 1533-position model. The record is from RNAcentral.